Molecule: ribosomal RNA, 497 nt
Filed under: uncultured bacterium
Lineage: Bacteria
Description: partial 16S ribosomal RNA
Rfam family: Bacterial small subunit ribosomal RNA
Source: RNAcentral
GAUGAACGCUGGCGGCGUGCCUAAUACAUGCAAGUCGAGCGAACAGACGAGGAGCUUGCUCCUCUGACGUUAGCGGCGGACGGGUGAGUAACACGUGGAUAACCUACCUAUAAGACUGGGAUAACUUCGGGAAACCGGAGCUAAUACCGGAUAAUAUAUUGAACCGCAUGGUUCAAUAGUGAAAGACGGUUUUGCUGUCACUUAUAGAUGGAUCCGCGCCGCAUUAGCUAGUUGGUAAGGUAACGGCUUACCAAGGCAACGAUGCGUAGCCGACCUGAGGGGGUGAUCGGCCACACUGGAACUGAGACACGGUCCAGACUCCUACGGGAGGCAGCAGUAGGGAAUCUUCCGCAAUGGGCGAAAGCUUGACGGAGCAACGCCGCGUGAGUGAUGAAGGUCUUCGGAUCGUAAAACUCUGUUAUUAGGGAAGAACAAAUGUGUAAGUAACUAUGCACGUCUUGACGGUACCUAAUCAGAAAGCAACGGCUAACUACGUG